This 424-nucleotide ribosomal RNA is filed under the name Verrucomicrobiota bacterium. RNAcentral's name for it is "Verrucomicrobia bacterium partial 16S ribosomal RNA". It matches the Rfam family "Bacterial small subunit ribosomal RNA", at positions 355 to 776 of the family's 1533-position model. Lineage: Bacteria; Pseudomonadati; Verrucomicrobiota. The record is from RNAcentral.
UGAGGAAUAUUGGUCAAUGGACGCAAGUCUGAACCAGCCAAGUAGCGUGCAGGAUGACGGCCCUAUGGGUUGUAAACUGCUUUUAUAUGGGGAUAAGGUGGGGAACGUGUUCCCUUUUGCAGGUACCAUAUGAAUAAGGACCGGCUAAUUCCGUGCCAGCAGCCGCGGUAAUACGGAAGGUUCGGGCGUUAUCCGGAUUUAUUGGGUUUAAAGGGAGCGUAGGCUGUCUAUUAAGCGUGUUGUGAAAUAUACCGGCUCAACCGGUGGCUUGCAGCGCGAACUGGUCGACUUGAGUAUGCAGGAAGUAGGCGGAAUUCAUGGUGUAGCGGUGAAAUGCUUAGAUAUCAUGACGAACUCCGAUUGCGCAGGCAGCUUACUGUAGCAUAACUGACGCUGAUGCUCGAAAGUGCGGGUAUCAAACAGG